RNAcentral lists this ribosomal RNA (850 nucleotides) under Salmonella enterica subsp. enterica serovar Kentucky. RNAcentral's name for it is "partial 23S ribosomal RNA". It matches the Rfam family "Bacterial large subunit ribosomal RNA", at positions 566 to 1399 of the family's 2925-position model. Lineage: Bacteria; Pseudomonadati; Pseudomonadota; Gammaproteobacteria; Enterobacterales; Enterobacteriaceae. The record is from RNAcentral.
GACGCCCAACACACAAAACAAGCGGUGAGUGCUUUGGGGUGGGGUGACUGCGUACCUUUUGUAUAAUGGGUCAGCGACUUAUAUUCUGUAGCAAGGUUAACCGUAUAGGGGAGCCGAAGGGAAACCGAGUCUUAACUGGGCGUUAAGUUGCAGGGUAUAGACCCGAAACCCGGUGAUCUAGCCAUGGGCAGGUUGAAGGUUGGGUAACACUAACUGGAGGACCGAACCGACUAAUGUUGAAAAAUUAGCGGAUGACUUGUGGCUGGGGGUGAAAGGCCAAUCAAACCGGGAGAUAGCUGGUUCUCCCCGAAAGCUAUUUAGGUAGCGCCUCGUGAACUCAUCUUCGGGGGUAGAGCACUGUUUCGGCUAGGGGGUCAUCCCGACUUACCAACCCGAUGCAAACUGCGAAUACCGAAGAAUGUUAUCACGGGAGACACACGGCGGGUGCUAACGUCCGUCGUGAAGAGGGAAACAACCCAGACCGCCAGCUAAGGUCCCAAAGUCACAGUUAAGUGGGAAACGAUGUGGGAAGGCUCAGACAGCCAGGAUGUUGGCUUAGAAGCAGCCAUCAUUUAAAGAAAGCGUAAUAGCUCACUGGUCGAGUCGGCCUGCGCGGAAGAUGUAACGGGGCUAAACUGUGCACCGAAGCUGCGGCAGCGACGCUUAUGCGUUGUUGGGUAGGGGAGCGUUCUGUAAGCCUGCGAAGGUGUCCUGUGAGGGAUGCUGGAGGUAUCAGAAGUGCGAAUGCUGACAUAAGUAACGAUAAUGCGGGUGAAAAGCCCGCUCGCCGGAAGACCAAGGGUUCCUGUCCAACGUUAAUCGGGGCAGGGUGAGUCGACCCCUAAGGCGA